This 460-nucleotide ribosomal RNA is filed under the name uncultured bacterium. RNAcentral describes it as "partial 16S ribosomal RNA". It matches the Rfam family "Bacterial small subunit ribosomal RNA", at positions 338 to 795 of the family's 1533-position model. The record is from RNAcentral.
CCUACGGGAGGCAGCAGUGAGGAAUAUUGGUCAAUGGACGAGAGUCUGAACCAGCCAAGUAGCGUGAAGGAUGACUGCCCUAUGGGUUGUAAACUUCUUUUAUAUGGGAAUAAAAUGUUCCACGUGUGGGAUUUUGUAUGUACCAUAUGAAUAAGGAUCGGCUAACUCCGUGCCAGCAGCCGCGGUAAUACGGAGGAUCCGAGCGUUAUCCGGAUUUAUUGGGUUUAAAGGGAGCGUAGGUGGAUUGUUAAGUCAGUUGUGAAAGUUUGCGGCUCAACCGUAAAAUUGCAGUUGAAACUGGCAGUCGUGAGUACAGUAGAGGUGGGCGGAAUUCGUGGUGUAGCGGUGAAAUGCUUAGAUAUCACGAAGAACUCCGAUUGCGAAGGCAGCUCACUGGACUGCAACUGACACUGAGGCUCGAAAGUGUGGGUAUCAAACAGGAUUAGAUACCCCUGUAGUU